This 85-nucleotide non-coding RNA is filed under the name Dethiosulfatibacter aminovorans. RNAcentral's name for it is "c-di-GMP sequence". It matches the Rfam family "c-di-GMP-I riboswitch aptamer". Rfam says of the family: GEMM was predicted in a large-scale screen for bacterial structured RNA regulatory elements. Genes associated with GEMM are involved in a diverse array of functions, including chemotaxis regulation, signal transduction, secretion and chitin. RNAcentral also lists the same sequence under 1 other name. The record is from RNAcentral. Lineage: Bacteria; Bacillati; Bacillota; Tissierellia.
UGUGGAAAAAGGCAAAUCCGGUGAAAACUGGAGACGCAAAAACACAGGUCUAAGGAGUAAUAUCUAUGACGGCUGGUUUACCCAA